Molecule: long non-coding RNA, 1142 nt
Filed under: Nicotiana benthamiana
Lineage: Eukaryota; Viridiplantae; Streptophyta; Magnoliopsida; Solanales; Solanaceae
Description: long non-coding RNA (NBEN_LNC023369)
Source: RNAcentral
AUGAUUUUUCCGGUGAUACGCCGUCGUGGACACGACUGUUCGUCGGGUCGUUGGAUUCAUACUCGUUUCCUUCGUCGCCUUCUCAGGCUCGGCUUAGAGUCCACGAGAAUGUGAAACGCUAUGCCCGCAAUUAUAUCUCUCUCUUCCUCCUCUUCUUCGUUUGCUCUCUGUAUGCUCUCUGUCUCUAUACACACACACAUACAAACAUACAUACACAUUAUGUAUGUAUGUAUGUAUGUAUAUUUGUGUGUCUCGACUUUUUAAGCAUGUAUGUGGACAUUGACAAGUAUAUAUCAUCGAUUAUGAUUUGUACUAUUAAUAAUGGUUAAAAUUUGUGCUUGUGCGAUAAGUUGAAUAUUGGAUUUGUUUUAAGCCUCUCUCUUCCUCCUCUUCUUCGCUUGCUCUCUGUAUGCUCUCUCUCUAUGCACACACACAUACACUCAUACAUACACAUUAUGUCUGUAUAUUUGUGUGUCUUGACUUUUUAAGCAUGUAUGAGGACAUUGACAAGUAUAUGUUAUCUAUUGUAAUUUGUACUAUUAAUAAUGGUUAAAAUUUGUGCUUGUGCUGAAUAUUGGAUUUGUUUUAAGCAGUACACCUGAAACCGGUCCGAAUGGAGUUGAAGGAAUAUAGAGAAUUCAUGUAACUCUGCAACUAGAUUAGAAUUGAGUUGUUGGUUGAUUGAUUGAUCGACUUUGUAUGAGAAGUUUGAGGUUGUUAGGCUCUGAGAGCUAAAUGAGGCUCACUCGGAGGAUAGUGGAUUUAGAUAGUUCUUUUGGAUAAGGAUAUGGAUAGUUCUUAAUUUAAGUUAUAAAGCACUCUACGUAAUUUCUCUCUUCCUCAAGAAUAUAUCAUUUUCAUGACAUAAAGAACAUGUAUACGGUCUUUGGUGUAUAUUUAUAUGUGCCAAUUGAAAUUUGAAAGCUGAAGCAAUUGUAAUCUAAAAGCUAGGGUUUUACAUAGGACAAAGUUUCAGUUAUUUGGUGAUAUGUUCAAGCCCUUUAGAUUUCAGAGUACUUGUCAAACAAAAAAGAUGUUAAGGGCUUGGAGAUUUGAAGAUAGUACUUGGUCCAAACAUUGUGGUUAGACCUGCAAUGUUGUAUGGGGCGGAGUGCUGGCCAGUGAAGAACUCUCAUGUUNNN